AGUGAACGCUGGCGGUAGGCCUAACACAUGCAAGUCGAACGGCAGCACAGGAGAGCUUGCUCUCUGGGUGGCGAGUGGCGGACGGGUGAGGAAUACAUCGGAAUCUACUCUGUCGUGGGGGAUAACGUAGGGAAACUUACGCUAAUACCGCAUACGACCUACGGGUGAAAGCAGGGGACCUUCGGGCCUUGCGCGAUUGAAUGAGCCGAUGUCGGAUUAGCUAGUUGGCGGGGUAAGGGCCCACCAAGGCGACGAUCCGUAGCUGGUCUGAGAGGAUGAUCAGCCACACUGGAACUGAGACACGGUCCAGACUCCUACGGGAGGCAGCAGUGGGGAAUAUUGGACAAUGGGCGCAAGCCUGAUCCAGCCAUACCGUGUGGGUGAAGAAGGCCUUCGGGUUGUAAAGCCCUUUUGUUGGGAAAGAAAUCCAGCUGGCUAAUACCCGGUUGGGAUGACGGUACCCAAAGAAUAAGCACCGGCUAACUUCGUGCCAGCCGCCGCCGUAA
This 506-nucleotide ribosomal RNA is filed under the name uncultured bacterium. Its description in RNAcentral is "partial 16S ribosomal RNA". It matches the Rfam family "Bacterial small subunit ribosomal RNA", at positions 29 to 523 of the family's 1533-position model. The record is from RNAcentral.